This 2578-nucleotide unclassified non-coding RNA is filed under the name Hevea brasiliensis (rubber tree). Lineage: Eukaryota; Viridiplantae; Streptophyta; Magnoliopsida; Malpighiales; Euphorbiaceae. The record is from RNAcentral.
AAUUUAAAAUUUUGGGGUGUUACAGGUACACUGUGUGAUAUAUCUUACUCGGUUAUAUUAUACUGUAGACGGGUAAAGGGUGUCACAAUUCUGCUAUGCCUUUUUCCACAAUAGCACUAACCUCAUCUUCUGACACAUUGGCGUCGCUACCCCUAGAGGAGCACACCUCACCAUCAUAUUUGUUGGGUACAUGCUUUUGCACAUGAAGGUUACGGAAAAGAGAAGGAAGAGAGUCACAACAAGACUCUUAUAUGGCUAAGAUCUGGAAACGAACAUUGUCAAUGUCGACUGCUAUGAUUUUCCUUAAAAAAUAGAAAGAGCUAGUUAAGACCAAGAGUCUAGCAGAAUCAAGUCUUGAUUUUGUCUGGGUAACAUUGUCAAUAGAAAUGAAUUCCCCCAAAAAAUUCCCAAUCCAUUUGAAAAAAUCAGGGGACUAGACAUUAAGAGAUACACCUUAAAGAUGAAUCAAUACCAAAUGCUUCUGAAGAGUAUAAGUAGCUUUCCAAGGCUUUACAUCACUGAACCACUGAUCAAGAUAAUUAGAAGAAAGAAACCAUAAAGAAACCAUCCAUAAUCUCCUUUGUAUCAAAUGUAAGUAAAACGAGAUUGCCUCCGAAAGGAGAAAUUUCAACCGAGAAAAUUCCAUCUGCUAUUAGAUAUUAUUGCAAGUUUGACAUAGUAUGCAGGUUUAGAAUAGUUGUAAUCACAGAGCGCAAAAGCCACUCAUGAUUUUCAUUGGCAACAUUAUCUGAUGCAGCAUAUCGUCUUGCCACAAAGAAGCCCAUUUGCUCUACAUUCUGUCGCUGCAUGCCAGGGAAAAUAUCAAAGCCCCCAUGAACCAAGCCAGACUGACCAUUACUAUGCUUUGCAUUAUUGACAUGAAUAGACCUUCUCAACAUAGCACGAUCUCUAGAGUUGUGUUCAGUAGCAGAAUAGGACCUCCUUUCAUAUUUUGAUUGAAAAGCCCAAAGUUUAUAUGUUCCAAUCCAAAUGUUAUUGGUAGCCUUUAGGAUCCUAUGAAAACAAGCAGGAGGUGGAGUCCUAAACAAACCAAAUCUUCUUCCUCUGCAGGUAAGUUUACCUGGAAUAAAAAUUUCUUCAAUAUCUCAAAACCUAGAGAAAACUCUCCAAAGAUCCCUUGAUGACCAUCCUGUUGGGAAAUUUUCAAAGUAAAUGGUUAGGGAGCUAGACUUUGGGUGAGAGGUGGGGUUACGUGAAAUGUUGGGAGAGGGCUACAUUUGCAAUCAGUUCCAAAGUUUCUCACAUGUGCAUCACUUGUUGAAAACAUUAGGUGCACAAUUUAUAGUAAGAAAAACAAAGAACAAAGCAACCACAUAUUGCAAGCAGACCAGAGAACCAUUAUUCCUCCAAGAAUUGAAUUUUUAAAAGCCACAACCCUACCUUAAAGAGAUAAUUACACAAAGCCCAUUCUCAUACCACAUACUAUCAAUAAAAGUCAUAUUUCAUCCUCUAUUAAACACUUAAGCCACCUACCACCUGAAUGCAUUAAGAAGUGUCACUUUCCAACACACCUAGAUUCUAGCAAACAAACACUUGAGAACCACUCCAAGCUCAUAAAACAGCCACCACUUAACUUUUAGUUUGAUUUAAAUACUAAUAGAUAUUGGCCAAUAAUUCAAUUGGCUCCUUAUUCCCAUUAUGAACAUUCAUAAUACAUGACCAAAAAAAUAAUCUGAACACACAGGACAAGUACACAUAAAAAGCACAUCAACAUCUUGCUCAGCCAAAAGCAAUUGGUGUGGAAUAUGGCUCCUAAUCUCCAAACACAUUAGUAAUUGUUGCAAUGGGCAGCAAAGGUUUUCCCAAUUUAGAGGCACUUGACAUCACACCAUAAAGUCGAACUGAUAAAGCCAGAAUGCGAGCUAUUAAACGAGCUUGGAUGGACACAUGCUUUACAACUGUGGGAACAUAGGGAUCUAGAAUAGUGACAGAUGCAUCAACCGUGUGGUCUGCAAACUUGAGAGCCUUAUUGGGAACAUCAUGGAACUUAGAAUAGAUAGGUCUAACCACGCUCUUAACCGUAACCUCAACAGUGUUGACACCAGGCUUCAAUGGACCAGACUUGUCCUUGGCAUAAAGAUAGAGCUUUGAGAAAGAACCCACUGCAUAAAUUGUAGCAUCUUGCACAAAUUCCAAAUAUUUCAACCUCUCUUCCUCCUCAUUACCCUAAAUAAUUCAAUUUUUCCAUAGCUAUGUUAAUUAAGAUAUUCAAUAAAUGAACCAAAUAUUUAAUUAUUUCACAAAAUCACCCCCAUAAAAUUGAAUAUAAUGAGGAAUCAUAGUUAAUACAAUUAAUUUGGUAGUUUGCUGUGCAACCUUCUGUCCAACGCUCUGAAAAAUGCAUAGUUAUAAAAAAAUAUAUAGUUAAUUUAGUUUGGAUCAAAGAACAAUUGCAUGAAACAAUAUAAAAAAUGAUGGAAAAAAAUUCAUAAAGAAAUUUGAGAGCACAUACCACUACCGCUUGUUGUAGGAUAUUCUCAACAAUACUCGAAGCUUCUGAGACAGCACUUAACGCCCCUUGUUGGAUAUUCUCGGCUCCUUUGGCUGCUUCUUCAAC